This 370-nucleotide ribosomal RNA is filed under the name Rozellomycota sp. RNAcentral describes it as "Cryptomycota sp. partial small subunit ribosomal RNA". It matches the Rfam family "Eukaryotic small subunit ribosomal RNA", at positions 582 to 975 of the family's 1831-position model. Lineage: Eukaryota; Fungi; Rozellomycota. The record is from RNAcentral.
AUUCCAGCUCCAAUAGCGAAUACUAAUUCUGCUGCAGUUAAAAAGCUCGUAGUUGAACCUUGGACAAAGUGCGCGUGGUCUACCGCAAGGUAUGACUGCGGCGCUGCGUCUCUUUAGGGGGACUCGAUGCUUCGGUGUCGAGGUAACCCGUGUUACUGUGAAGAAAUUAGAGUGUUUAAAGCAGGCUAUCGCUUGAAUACAUCAGCAUGGAAUAACAAGUUGGACUUUGCUCCUACUUGUUGGUUUGAGGGGAAAAGUAAUGAUUAAUAGGGCCAGUUGGGGGCAUUAGUAUUCAGUAGUCAGAGGUGAAAUUCUUGGAUUUACUGAAGACUAACUAGUGCGAAAGCAUUUGCCAAGGAUGUUUUCAUUA